CAAUCACAGACUUUGAGCAAGAUUUGGAGACUCUGGACACAUUGCCCAGAAACACCUGGGAAGCCAGAGCAAUAGCAGUUUCUCUGACGGCUUGUGGAGGUCCAGAAACACCCAUUGCACACGCUUUGCAUGCGUCCAUCAGCCGAAUGGUAAUACACAGGAGGUCUGAUGCUUGCAGGCAGAUCAGAUGUACAGCAUGUGCCCUGUGCCUCUCUGCAGGUACAGCUACGUCCAGGUGCUUGAAACACGCUCGGCUCCCAGCCCAUGUACCACACGGCACGUGCCUUUCCAGGGAUUCCCGGCUGGGAUUAUGGCAACCACAUUCCCGUUCCCUCACUCUCUGGAGAUGCCCUUUACAUCUUGAAGCCCACCAGCCGCAGUCCUUGUGGGCUUUUGCCGUGUGAUCUGUGCAAAGAUUCAUGAUAUUGUUAAGAAAAUUCUGCAGGAUAUGGAAUGUGCCUCUGUGGGUGAACACAAAGGGCUCAGCGCAGCUUGGCUCUGCAGUCGGCUUACCCCCAUUUGGAGUGAGAAGUUGCAAUCUGAGGAAGGUGAUAAGCAGGGGAGGGGAGGAUGAUCGCAAGAAAGUCCAUGAGCACAAGGGUAGUGAGCGCUGGCAGGAGCUCAGCACCAAGAAGCUGAUGAGGUCGGGCACUGAGAUGCUAGGACAGCCAGAAACUCCUUUGACCAUAGCAGGCAUGAGCGAGCACCAUUAUUUGGGGAGACUGUGCUUCUCUUCUCCAGCUCGAGUUUGUGAAGCUGGAGCCAAACUUCCUGGGAGCUCCAUAGGCAGAUGGUGCCUCCAGAACAGGGAAACAGGGCGCUGCUGCCUCCAAAGUCACCUGGAUAUCCACAAAGAAGGCAACGUGUAUGUGCCUGCGGGAGCUGAUGCCCUUCCCAGGCUGGAGUCCAGACCCCCAGCACAGCACACUUCCAAGCACCCAGCCCCAUGAGACUUCCAAGAACAUGACUCACACACACUACCCCAAGAGCUCUCUGAAAGGCAACAUGACAUUAACCUUAGAUGAAUGAUAUAUUAAAGCAAAACUCAUGGGGAAUCUGGCUUACAUUGUGGUGUGAUCAAGCUCUGAAACUUUCAUUUUCUUGCAUUUUUACUUAUAUAUAACUAGUCAGUCACAGCCUUGCUAGGUGGCCUGCUCAUGGUAAAAUAUUUAUUCCACCAGAAAGGUUGAAACAUUAUUCUUCCAGUACUUUGGCUGAAGACUACGCAGCACAGUACCUGGGGUUUGUGUGAAAUUUAGUAUUUACAGAGGCUGUAGGAGAGACUGGGACCACCCUGAUUUAGCUCCUUCCUCCAUUCUUUCAUUCUGUAUGACCUACCAAAUUAAUUAAAAAUUUGGGGAGCCCUCCAGUGGCCAAAAUUAUAGUGCCUAAAUUCACCACUGUUAAAGAGGUAUCACAAAAUCUGGUGGUGUCUUAAGUCUUUGCAAAAAUGCAUACACCUACAACUUUUCAAUAUGGAAUUUUUAAAAAGUUACCUUUUUACAGAAAAUAUAUUUUUUAAAAGGUCAGUCCGGUUAAGUACAGUCACUGCAACAGUGGAGAUACUUGGGGAAAAGAUUUCCUAAAAGCUCUUUGUAGAAAAC
Molecule: long non-coding RNA, 1604 nt
Organism: Struthio camelus australis
Lineage: Eukaryota; Metazoa; Chordata; Aves; Struthioniformes; Struthionidae
Source: Ensembl